GAUGAAGAACGCAGCGAAAUGCGAUACUUGGUGUGAAUUGCAGAAUCCCGUGAACCAUCGAGUCUUUGAACGCAAGUUGCGCCCGAAGCCAUUAGGCCGAGGGCACGCCUGCCUGGGCGUCACACGUCGUUGCCCCCCCAUCUACUCCUUCGGGAUUGCGGGGGGCGGAUGAUGGCCUCCCGUGCGCCUCGUCGCGCGGUUGGCCUAAAUGCCAAGUCCUCGGCGACGCACGCCACGACAAUCGGUGGUUGCGAAACCUCGGUUGCCUGUCGUGUGCGGCCGUCGCGCAUCGAGGGCUCGAAAAAAUUGCCGGGCUUCGGCUCGACUUUCAACGCGACCCCAGGUCAGGCGGGGUUACCCGCUGAAUUUAAGCAUAUCAAUAAGCGGAGGA
This 391-nucleotide unclassified non-coding RNA is filed under the name soil metagenome. Its description in RNAcentral is "partial contains 5.8S ribosomal RNA, internal transcribed spacer 2, and large subunit ribosomal RNA". The stretch from base 1 to 122 matches the Rfam family "5.8S ribosomal RNA", at positions 35 to 154 of the family's 154-position model. The record is from RNAcentral.